RNAcentral lists this unclassified non-coding RNA (1032 nucleotides) under Hevea brasiliensis (rubber tree). The record is from RNAcentral. Lineage: Eukaryota; Viridiplantae; Streptophyta; Magnoliopsida; Malpighiales; Euphorbiaceae.
UUUUUUUUUUUUUUUUUUGGCCAUCACCCCUUGUUUUUCUAAUGCUUCUUUUUCCUCCUCCUUUCCUUUUUAGUUCGAGCAAUUCAUUUGGCUAUUCUAUUAUUCAAUUUCCGAAUAGACACUUUAAGUCCAAGUCUUCAAACUAAUGGUCUGGCCAAAUUACUCAUUUUUACCUCUUUAAAACUCACUAAGCAUUAUCUGCUAGGAUUCUCAUGUUAUCAUUUUGAAAAAACAAUAAGCAACCAAUCAAAACUUAUUUAGGGAAAGCGGAAAAUAAAGGCAGAUUAAGCAUUAAGCCUUGACCAACAGAUAACUAAGUAAAGCAGAAUAAAUUCCAAACAUUUUGCAGAGAAAAGAAAUUAAAAAAUAAAAAAACUCACACAACGGUUGCCAACCAAGACAAAAACAAACCCUAACUCUCCAUUUCGCUUUUAAGAUCAAGAAAACAGAGAAAGGGGGAAAAAAGGCCUUUCAUCAUUUCCCUUAUAUUCUAUCAGAUACCCAGAAAACAUAAGCGCCCACCUCAACUAAAACCAAGAUUCUUGAACGAAUUGCUUCACUUCAAUUUAACCUCCUCGUCAAAUGUCACCCUCAACCUUUUUUUUCUCUUAAAUAACAUUCUCCUUCUUUUCAUUCCACUUUCUACCAUUUCCUCAGAUACCAAACAGAAAAGGGCAGCCAAGAAAAAGAAAGAAAACAUACCUGAACCCAAAAGAAUCCACGUAAUAAAAUUAUAACUCAAGGAAUUAAAUGAUUCAAAGUUAAAUAAUCAAAUUUGACAGCUGCAAGGUUGCUCCAUCAGGCUAGAAAAAAAUAGCUUCAUUAAUGAAAUAGUUCAGAAAAUCUUUCAAUUAUCACAACAUGUUGGUAUCUAUAAGUAGAAAUACAGUCACUUUAAAAUGGUAUCCAAAGCAUUACUGCAUGCCGUUGAUCCACAGAAUUCCAAAGCCAGGACCUGAUUCUACAAAAGUGUUUUAUGCCAAAAGACAAACCUAAAGCAUAAAUGGCAAUGCUAAUCUAUUAGAUCAUAGU